RNAcentral lists this ribosomal RNA (567 nucleotides) under uncultured archaeon. RNAcentral describes it as "bacterial SSU rRNA". It matches the Rfam family "Archaeal small subunit ribosomal RNA", at positions 25 to 591 of the family's 1478-position model. The record is from RNAcentral.
UACUGCUAUCAGNUGNUUCGAUUAAGCCAUGCGAGNUUAAAUGUUCUUCGUGAACAUGGCGUACUGCUCAGUAACACGUGGAUAACCUGCCCUAAGGUCCGGCAUAACCCCGGGAAACUGGGGAUAAUACCGGAUAAACCAUAGAUACUGGAAUGUUCUGUGGUUAAAAGUUCCGGCGCCUUAGGAUGGAUCUGCGGCCUAUCAGGUAGUAGUGGGUGUAAAGUACCUACUAGCCGACGACGGGUACGGGUUGUGAGAGCAAGAGCCCGGAGAUGGAUUCUGAGACAUGAAUCCAGGCCCUACGGGGCGCAGCAGGCGCGAAACCUUUACACUGCGGGAAACCGCGAUAAGGGGACACCGAGUGCCAGCAUACAAUGCUGGCUGUCCACAUGUGUAAAUAGCAUGUGAUAGCAAGGGCCGGGCAAGACCGGUGCCAGCCGCCGCGGUAACACCGGCGGCCCGAGUGGUAAUCACUAUUAUUGGGUCUAAAGGGUCUGUAGCCGGCCAGGUAAGUCCCUUGGGAAAUCUGGCAGCUCAACUGUCAGGCUGCUAGGGGAUACUGUUUGG